RNAcentral lists this non-coding RNA (85 nucleotides) under Gynuella sunshinyii YC6258. The record is from RNAcentral. Lineage: Bacteria; Pseudomonadati; Pseudomonadota; Gammaproteobacteria; Oceanospirillales; Saccharospirillaceae.
UGUAUUGGCAGGCCGGGCGGGCCAGCUUCGGUUGGGCCGUUUUCUUGAGAGCGGUUGUGGUAACCCGUUUCGGUCUGUCUCCAAA